Molecule: ribosomal RNA, 1868 nt
Filed under: Staphylococcus aureus
Lineage: Bacteria; Bacillati; Bacillota; Bacilli; Caryophanales; Staphylococcaceae
Description: partial 23S ribosomal RNA
Rfam family: Bacterial large subunit ribosomal RNA
Source: RNAcentral
GAUUAAGUUAUUAAGGGCGCACGGUGGAUGCCUUGGCACUAGAAGCCGAUGAAGGACGUUACUAACGACGAUAUGCUUUGGGGAGCUGUAAGUAAGCUUUGAUCCAGAGAUUUCCGAAUGGGGAAACCCAGCAUGAGUUAUGUCAUGUUAUCGAUAUGUGAAUACAUAGCAUAUCAGAAGGCACACCCGGAGAACUGAAACAUCUUAGUACCCGGAGGAAGAGAAAGAAAAUUCGAUUCCCUUAGUAGCGGCGAGCGAAACGGGAAGAGCCCAAACCAACAAGCUUGCUUGUUGGGGUUGUAGGACACUCUAUACGGAGUUACAAAGGACGACAUUAGACGAAUCAUCUGGAAAGAUGAAUCAAAGAAGGUAAUAAUCCUGUAGUCGAAAAUGUUGUCUCUCUUGAGUGGAUCCUGAGUACGACGGAGCACGUGAAAUUCCGUCGGAAUCUGGGAGGACCAUCUCCUAAGGCUAAAUACUCUCUAGUGACCGAUAGUGAACCAGUACCGUGAGGGAAAGGUGAAAAGCACCCCGGAAGGGGAGUGAAAUAGAACCUGAAACCGUGUGCUUACAAGUAGUCAGAGCCCGUUAAUGGGUGAUGGCGUGCCUUUUGUAGAAUGAACCGGCGAGUUACGAUUUGAUGCAAGGUUAAGCAGUAAAUGUGGAGCCGUAGCGAAAGCGAGUCUGAAUAGGGCGUUUAGUAUUUGGUCGUAGACCCGAAACCAGGUGAUCUACCCUUGGUCAGGUUGAAGUUCAGGUAACACUGAAUGGAGGACCGAACCGACUUACGUUGAAAAGUGAGCGGAUGAACUGAGGGUAGCGGAGAAAUUCCAAUCGAACCUGGAGAUAGCUGGUUCUCUCCGAAAUAGCUUUAGGGCUAGCCUCAAGUGAUGAUUAUUGGAGGUAGAGCACUGUUUGGACGAGGGGCCCCUCUCGGGUUACCGAAUUCAGACAAACUCCGAAUGCCAAUUAAUUUAACUUGGGAGUCAGAACAUGGGUGAUAAGGUCCGUGUUCGAAAGGGAAACAGCCCAGACCACCAGCUAAGGUCCCAAAAUAUAUGUUAAGUGGAAAAGGAUGUGGCGUUGCCCAGACAACUAGGAUGUUGGCUUAGAAGCAGCCAUCAUUUAAAGAGUGCGUAAUAGCUCACUAGUCGAGUGACACUGCGCCGAAAAUGUACCGGGGCUAAACAUAUUACCGAAGCUGUGGAUUGUCCUUUGGACAAUGGUAGGAGAGCGUUCUAAGGGCGUUGAAGCAUGAUCGUAAGGACAUGUGGAGCGCUUAGAAGUGAGAAUGCCGGUGUGAGUAGCGAAAGACGGGUGAGAAUCCCGUCCACCGAUUGACUAAGGUUUCCAGAGGAAGGCUCGUCCGCUCUGGGUUAGUCGGGUCCUAAGCUGAGGCCGACAGGCGUAGGCGAUGGAUAACAGGUUGAUAUUCCUGUACCACCUAUAAUCGUUUUAAUCGAUGGGGGGACGCAGUAGGAUAGGCGAAGCGUGCGAUUGGAUUGCACGUCUAAGCAGUAAGGCUGAGUAUUAGGCAAAUCCGGUACUCGUUAAGGCUGAGCUGUGAUGGGGAGAAGACAUUGUGUCUUCGAGUCGUUGAUUUCACACUGCCGAGAAAAGCCGCAGUGAAUAGGCCCAAGCGACUGUUUAUCAAAAACACAGGUCUCUGCUAAACCGUAAGGUGAUGUAUAGGGGCUGACGCCUGCCCGGUGCUGGAAGGUUAAGAGGAGUGGUUAGCUUCUGCGAAGCUACGAAUCGAAGCCCCAGUAAACGGCGGCCGUAACUAUAACGGUCCUAAGGUAGCGAAAUUCCUUGUCGGGUAAGUUCCGACCCGCACGAAAGGCGUAACGAUUUGGGCACUGUCUCAA